RNAcentral lists this long non-coding RNA (542 nucleotides) under Homo sapiens (human). Its description in RNAcentral is "HSALNT0159884". Lineage: Eukaryota; Metazoa; Chordata; Mammalia; Primates; Hominidae. The record is from RNAcentral.
AGUAUAGGCAGAUCUCUCCCUCAUAUAACGGAUGUUUCUUGGCGCUUGGAAUAUCAGAUAAAGACCAAUCAACUUCAUAGGAUGUACAGACCUGCAUAUUUGGUGACCUUAAGUGUACAGAACACUGAUUCCCCAUCCUAUCCAGAGAUUAGUUUUAGUUGCAGCAUGGAACAAUUACAGGACUUGGUGGGGAAACUUAAAGAUGCUUCGAAAAGCCUGGAAAGAGCAACUCAGUUGUAACUUGGGGAAGUUAACGAUCCGCCCGAGUGCAGAGGAAAACCAGAAACGCCUUGCCUUCAGCUGAACCACCGUUUGUGCGAGCUGGAUGUCCUUUUCAGUAGAAAAGAAUUUUCCUUUUGAAUUUAUACCAUUCAUCAAUUUUGACACUUUAAAAACGUGUGAAAGGGUUAAGAGGGAAAGAUACUGCCCAAGUAUUUGAAUCGUUUAGUAGUAACUGUCCAUUUAUCCUAUUUUGAUCUUUUUCAAGUCUUCUGAAAGGAAGUAGACAGUAUUACACCCUGAAUAAAUAAGGUGUUGUUUUC